ACGGUGAGUAACACGUGAGUAACCUGCCCUUGACUUUGGGAUAACUUCAGGAAACUGGGGCUAAUACCGGAUAGGAGCUCCUGCUGCAUGGUGGGGGUUGGAAAGUUUCGGCGGUUGGGGAUGGACUCGCGGCUUAUCAGCUUGUUGGUGGGGUAGUGGCUUACCAAGGCUUUGACGGGUAGCCGGCCUGAGAGGGUGACCGGCCACAUUGGGACUGAGAUACGGCCCAG
RNAcentral lists this ribosomal RNA (230 nucleotides) under uncultured Actinomycetales bacterium. RNAcentral describes it as "partial 16S ribosomal RNA". It matches the Rfam family "Bacterial small subunit ribosomal RNA", at positions 105 to 334 of the family's 1533-position model. Lineage: Bacteria; Bacillati; Actinomycetota; Actinomycetes; Actinomycetales. The record is from RNAcentral.